Molecule: ribosomal RNA, 268 nt
Filed under: uncultured bacterium
Lineage: Bacteria
Description: partial 16S ribosomal RNA
Rfam family: Bacterial small subunit ribosomal RNA
Source: RNAcentral
UACAGAGGGCUCAAGCGUUAAUCGGAAUCACUGGGCUUAAAGGGUCCGCAGGCGGAUUGGAAAGUAUCUUGUGAAAUACCACGCUCAACCGUGGAACUGCUCGGUAAACUUCCAAUCUUGAACACGGUAGGGGCAUCGGAACUCUAGGUGGAGCGGUGAAAUGCGUAGAUAUCUAGAGGAACGCCAGAGGCGAAGGCGGAUGGCUGGCCGUUGUUGACGCUCAGGGACGAAAGCAUGGGUAGCGAACGGGAUUAGAUACCCGGACGUC